This 484-nucleotide ribosomal RNA is filed under the name uncultured bacterium. RNAcentral describes it as "partial 16S ribosomal RNA". It matches the Rfam family "Bacterial small subunit ribosomal RNA", at positions 30 to 507 of the family's 1533-position model. The record is from RNAcentral.
AUUGAACGCUGGCGGCAGGCCUAACACAUGCAAGUCGAGCGGAUGAAGGGAGCUUGCUCCUGGAUUCAGCGGCGGACAGGUGAGUAAUGCCUAGGAAUCUGCCUGGUAGUGGGGGAUAACGUCCGGAAACGGGCGCUAAUACCGCAUACGUCCUGAGGGUGAAAGUGGGGGAUCUUCGGACCUCACGCUAUCAGAUGAGCCUAGGUCGGAUUAGCUAGUUGGUGGGGUAAAGGCCUACCAAGGCGACGAUCCGUAACUGGUCUGAGAGGAUGAUCAGUCACACUGGAACUGAGACACGGUCCAGACUCCUACGGGAGGCAGCAGUGGGGAAUAUUGGACAAUGGGCGAAAGCCUGAUCCAGCCAUGCCGCGUGUGUGAAGAAGGUCUUCGGAUUGUAAAGCACUUUAAGUUGGGAGGAAGGGCAGUAAGUUAAUACCUUGCUGUUUUGACGUUACCAACAGAAUAAGCACCGGCUAACUACGUG